This 439-nucleotide ribosomal RNA is filed under the name Capnocytophaga gingivalis. RNAcentral's name for it is "bacterial SSU rRNA". It matches the Rfam family "Bacterial small subunit ribosomal RNA", at positions 28 to 472 of the family's 1533-position model. The record is from RNAcentral. Lineage: Bacteria; Pseudomonadati; Bacteroidota; Flavobacteriia; Flavobacteriales; Flavobacteriaceae.
GAUGAACGCUAGCGGCAGGCCUAACACAUGCAAGUCGAGGGAGAAGCCUUUCGGGGCAGAAACCGGCGCACGGGUGCGUAACGCGUAUGCAACCUACCUUUCACAGGGGGAUAGCCCGAAGAAAUUUGGAUUAAUACCCCAUAAUAUUGUUGGAUGGCAUCAUUUGACAAUUAAAACUGAGGUGGUGGAAGAUGGGCAUGCGUCCUAUUAGCUAGUUGGAGUGGUAACGGCACCCCAAGGCUACGAUAGGUAGGGGUCCUGAGAGGGAGAUCCCCCACACUGGUACUGAGACAGGGACCAGACUCCUACGGGAGGCAGCAGUGAGGAAUAUUGGUCAAUGGCCGGAAGACUGGACCAGCCAUGCCGCGUGCAGGAAGAAUGCCUUAUGGGUUGUAAACUGCUUUUAUAUGGGAAGAAUAAAGGUGUACGUGUACAAUGA